AUCCGCAUAAUGCCUACGGCCAAAGAGGGACCUUCGGGCCUCUCGCGUCAAGAUAUGCCUAGGUGGGAUUAGCUAGUUGGUGAGGUAAUGGCUCACCAAGGCGACGAUCCCUAGCUGGUCUGAGAGGAUGAUCAGCCACACUGGAACUGAGACACGGUCCAGACUCCUACGGGAGGCAGCAGUGGGGAAUAUUGCACAAUGGGCGAAAGCCUGAUGCAGCCAUGCCGCGUGUAUGAAGAAGGCCUUCGGGUUGUAAAGUACUUUCAGUUGUGAGGAAGGGGGUAGUGUUAAUAGCGCUAUCUCUUGACGUUAGCAACAGAAGAAGC
Molecule: ribosomal RNA, 326 nt
Filed under: uncultured Gammaproteobacteria bacterium
Lineage: Bacteria; Pseudomonadati; Pseudomonadota; Gammaproteobacteria
Description: bacterial SSU rRNA
Rfam family: Bacterial small subunit ribosomal RNA
Source: RNAcentral